RNAcentral lists this ribosomal RNA (482 nucleotides) under uncultured bacterium. Its description in RNAcentral is "partial 16S ribosomal RNA". It matches the Rfam family "Bacterial small subunit ribosomal RNA", at positions 30 to 507 of the family's 1533-position model. The record is from RNAcentral.
AUUGAACGCUGGCGGCAUGCCUUACACAUGCAAGUCGAACGGUAACGGGCCUUCGGGUGCCGACGAGUGGCGAACGGGUGAGUAAUACAUCGGAACGUGCCCGAUCGUGGGGGAUAACGAGGCGAAAGCUUUGCUAAUACCGCAUACGAUCUACGGAUGGAAGCAGGGGACCGCAAGGCCUUGCGCGGACGGAGCGGCCGAUGGCAGAUUAGGUAGUUGGUGGGAUAAAAGCUUACCAAGCCGACGAUCUGUAGCUGGUCUGAGAGGAUGAUCAGCCACACUGGGACUGAGACACGGCCCAGACUCCUACGGGAGGCAGCAGUGGGGAAUUUUGGACAAAGGGCGCAAGCCUGAUCCAGCCAUGCCGCGUGCAGGAUGAAGGCCUUCGGGUUGUAAACUGCUUUUGUACGGAACGAAAAGCCUUCUUUUAAUACAGGAGGGUCAUGACGGUACCGUAAGAAUAAGCACCGGCUAACUACGUG